UGGGGAAUAUUGCACAAUGGGCGCAAGCCUGAUGCAGCCAUGCCGCGUGUAUGAAGAAGGCCUUCGGGUUGUAAAGUACUUUCAGCGGGGAGGAAGGCGAUAAGGUUAAUAACCUUGUCGAUUGACGUUACCCGCAGAAGAAGCACCGACUAACUCCGUGCCAGCAGCCGCGGUAAUACGGAGGGUGCAAGCGUUAACGGGACUUACUGGGCGUAAAGCGCACGCAGGCGGUCUGUCAAGUCGGAUGUGAAAUCCCCGGGCUCAACCUGGGAACUGCAUUCGAAACUGGCAGGCUAGAGUCUUGUAGAGGGGGGUAGAAUUCCAGGUGUAGCGGUGAAAUGCGUAGAGAUCUGGAGGAAUACCGGUGGCGAAGGCGGCCCCCUGGACAAAGACUGACGCUCAGGUGCGAAAGCGUGGGGAGCAAACA
This 427-nucleotide ribosomal RNA is filed under the name uncultured bacterium. RNAcentral's name for it is "partial 16S ribosomal RNA". It matches the Rfam family "Bacterial small subunit ribosomal RNA", at positions 355 to 774 of the family's 1533-position model. The record is from RNAcentral.